RNAcentral lists this ribosomal RNA (112 nucleotides) under Flavobacteriales bacterium. The record is from RNAcentral. Lineage: Bacteria; Pseudomonadati; Bacteroidota; Flavobacteriia; Flavobacteriales.
UUAGGUGAUUAUUGCAGUGAGGCCCACCUCUUCCCAUUCCGAACAGAGAAGUUAAGCUCACUAGCGCAGAUGGUACUGGAGUAAUAUCCGGGAGAGUAUGUCGUCGCCGCUU